AUUGAACGCUGGCGGCAGGCCUAACACAUGCAAGUCGAGCGGAUGAAGGGAGCUUGCUCCUGGAUUCAGUGGCGGACGGGUGAGUAAUGCCUAGGAAUCUGCCCGGUAGUGGGGGAUAACGUCCGGAAACGGGCGCUAAUACCGCAUACGUCCUGAUGGAGAAAGUGGGGGAUCUUCGGACCUCACGCUAUCAGAUGAGCCUAGGUCGGAUUAGCUAGUUGGUGGGGUAAAGGCCUACCAAGGCGACGAUCCGUAACUGGUCUGAGAGGAUGAUCAGUCACACUGGAACUGAGACACGGUCCAGACUCCUACGGGAGGCAGCAGUGGGGAAUAUUGGACAAUGGGCGAAAGCCUGAUCCAGCCAUGCCGCGUGUGUGAAGAAGGUCUUCGGAUUGUAAAGCACUUUAAGUUGGGAAGAAGGGCAGUAAGUUAAUACCUUGCUGUUCUGACGGUACCAACAGAAUAAGCACCGGCUAACUUCGUG
RNAcentral lists this ribosomal RNA (484 nucleotides) under uncultured bacterium. RNAcentral's name for it is "partial 16S ribosomal RNA". It matches the Rfam family "Bacterial small subunit ribosomal RNA", at positions 30 to 507 of the family's 1533-position model. The record is from RNAcentral.